Molecule: transfer RNA, 73 nt
Filed under: Ignavibacteriota bacterium
Lineage: Bacteria; Pseudomonadati; Ignavibacteriota
Description: Ignavibacteriae bacterium (activated sludge metagenome) tRNA-Arg
Rfam family: tRNA
About the family: Transfer RNA (tRNA) molecules are approximately 80 nucleotides in length.
Source: RNAcentral
UUGUCCAUAACUUAGUCAGGUAGAGUAGUUGCCUUCUAAGCAAUAAGUAUGGGUUCAAAUCCCAUUGGACAAA